CCUACGGGAGGCAGCAGUGGGGAAUCUUGCACAAUGGGCGAAAGCCUGAUGCAGCGACGCCGCGUGGGGGAUGAAGGCCUUCGGGUCGUAAACCUCUUUCAGCUCUGAGGAAGAUGACGGUAGGAGCAGAAGAAGCGCCGGCUAACUACGUGCCAGCAGCCGCGGUAAUACGUAGGGCGCAAGCGUUGUCCGGAUUUAUUGGGCGUAAAGAGCUCGUAGGCGGUUUGUCGCGUCUGCCGUGAAAUCCAGGGGCUUAACUCUUGGUGUGCGGUGGAUACGGGCAGGCUUGAGUGCGGUAGGGGAGACUGGAAUUCCUGGUGUAGCGGUGAAAUGCGCAGAUAUCAGGAGGAACACCGGUGGCGAAGGCGGGUCUCUGGGCCGUUACUGACGCUGAGGAGCGAAAGCGUGGGGAGCGAACAGGAUUAGAUACCCUGGUAGUCCACGCUGUAAACGUUGGGCGCUAGGUGUGGGGACCUUUUUUGGUGUCUGUGCCGUAGCUAACGCAUUAAGCGCCCCGCCUGGGGAGUACGGCCGCAAGGCUAAAACUCAAAUGAAUUGACGGGG
RNAcentral lists this ribosomal RNA (564 nucleotides) under uncultured Thermocrispum sp. Its description in RNAcentral is "bacterial SSU rRNA". It matches the Rfam family "Bacterial small subunit ribosomal RNA", at positions 338 to 918 of the family's 1533-position model. The record is from RNAcentral. Lineage: Bacteria; Bacillati; Actinomycetota; Actinomycetes; Pseudonocardiales; Pseudonocardiaceae.